RNAcentral lists this ribosomal RNA (498 nucleotides) under bacterium C4H7. RNAcentral's name for it is "bacterial SSU rRNA". It matches the Rfam family "Bacterial small subunit ribosomal RNA", at positions 366 to 882 of the family's 1533-position model. The record is from RNAcentral.
GGAGAAUGGGGCGCAGCCUGAUCCAGCAUGCCGCGUGGGUGAAGAAGGUCUUCGGAUUGUAAAGCCCUUUCGACGGGGACGAUGAUGACGGUACCCGUAGAAGAAGCCCCGGCUAACUUCGUGCCAGCAGCCGCGGUAAUACGAAGGGGGCUAGCGUUGCUCGGAAUGACUGGGCGUAAAGGGCGCGUAGGCGGAUUAUUCAGUCAGGCGUGAAAUUCCUGGGCUCAACCUGGGGACUGCGUUUGAGACGGAUAGUCUGGAGUUCGGAAGAGGGUCGUGGAAUUCCCAGUGUAGAGGUGAAAUUCGUAGAUAUUGGGAAGAACACCGGUGGCGAAGGCGGCGACCUGGUCCGAUACUGACGCUGAGGCGCGAAAGCGUGGGGAGCAAACAGGAUUAGAUACCCUGGUAGUCCACGCUGUAAACGAUGUGUGCUGGAUGUUGGGGGGCCUAGCCUUUCAGUGUCGUAGCUAACGCGAUAAGCACACCGCCUGGGGAGUA